RNAcentral lists this non-coding RNA (19 nucleotides) under Arabidopsis thaliana (thale cress). The record is from RNAcentral. Lineage: Eukaryota; Viridiplantae; Streptophyta; Magnoliopsida; Brassicales; Brassicaceae.
GCCCUUAUAGCUCAGUGGU